RNAcentral lists this ribosomal RNA (283 nucleotides) under uncultured bacterium. RNAcentral's name for it is "partial 16S ribosomal RNA". It matches the Rfam family "Bacterial small subunit ribosomal RNA", at positions 334 to 615 of the family's 1533-position model. The record is from RNAcentral.
UAUGCCUACGGGAGGAGCAGUGAGGAAUAUUGGUCAAUGGGCGGUAGCCUGAACCAGCCAAGUAGCGUGAAGGAUGAAGGUUCUAUGGAUUGUAAACUUCUUUUAUAAAGGAAUAAAGUGAGGCACGUGUGCCUUUUUGUAUGUACUUUAUGAAUAAGGAUCGGCUAACUCCGUGCCAGCAGCCGCGGUAAUACGGAGGAUCCGAGCGUUAUCCGGAUUUAUUGGGGUUAAAGGGAGCGUAGAUGGGUUGGUAAGUCAGUUGGGAAAGUUGGCGGCGCAACCG